This 656-nucleotide ribosomal RNA is filed under the name uncultured haloarchaeon. RNAcentral describes it as "bacterial SSU rRNA". It matches the Rfam family "Archaeal small subunit ribosomal RNA", at positions 1 to 661 of the family's 1478-position model. The record is from RNAcentral. Lineage: Archaea; Methanobacteriati; Methanobacteriota; Halobacteria; Halobacteriales; Halobacteriaceae.
UUUUCCGGUUGAUCCUGCCGGAGGCCAUUGCUAUCGGUGUCCGAUUUAGCCAUGCGAGUUGCACGUUUAACGUAGCAAACUGCUCAGUAACACGUGGCCAAACUGCCCUAUGGAUCGGGAUAACCUCGGGAAACUGAGGCUAAUCCCGAAUAGUGCAUCCAGCCUGGAACUGGCGGAUGUACGAAAUGCUCCGGCGCCAUAGGAUGUGGCUGCGGCCGAUUAGGUAGACGGUGGGGUAACGGCCCACCGUGCCGAUAAUCGGUACGGGUCAUGAGAGUGAGAGCCCGGAGACGGACUCUGAGACACGAGUCCGGGCCCUACGGGGCGCAGCAGGCGCGAAACCUUUACACUGCACGACAGUGCGAUAGGGGGACACCGAGUGCGAGGGCAUAGAGCCCUCGCUUUUGUAGACCGUAAGGAGGUCUACGAAUAAGGGCUGGGCAAGACCGGUGCCAGCCGCCGCGGUAACACCGGCAGCCCAAGUGAUGGCCGAUAUUAUUGGGCCUAAAGCGUCCGUAGCUGGCCGCGCAAGUCCGUCGGGAAAUCCACCUGCCCAACAGGUGGGCGUCCGGCGGAAACUGUGUGGCUUGNAUCUUGAAAACCCAAACGCAACAUCCAAAGUAGGAGUGAAAUCCCGUAAUCCCGGACGGACCACC